Molecule: long non-coding RNA, 3922 nt
Filed under: Homo sapiens (human)
Lineage: Eukaryota; Metazoa; Chordata; Mammalia; Primates; Hominidae
Description: HSALNT0317722
Source: RNAcentral
GGGGUAAGGGAGGAGUGAGCCUGGGUGCUGUGGGGGGAGGGGGUUGUUCAAGGGAUGGGGACGAUCAGGGUCUCUGGGAAGUGCUGACGUGUGCGCGUGUGCGGUGUGUUGCUUGUGGGUGCGUGUGUGGUGUGUGCAUGUGUGUGCGCGCGCGUGUGUGCGGGGUGUGCCGUGAGCGUGUGCCCGCGGUUCGGGGGAUGAGUAGGGGCGCUGACUUUUAGGACCAGCCAUUUGAGUCAAGCUGGAGACGACGUCUUAGAACCUAGGAUGAGUCUCGUUUGGUUUUAGUCUGCAAAGCUCGUCUGCAUCAGACAGGAAUUUUCCCCAGACGCGGGUGCACGUGAAUUAAUUCAUCAGAAGGCGGUUCACGGCCUGAGUGAGGGGGACGAGGGCGGCGAAUUCCUCCGCCUCAUUCCUACCCUGACGAUUCGAGCCUUAGCAAGUUCUGGCCUGUGGAGCCGUCAUCCAGAGCGCACAGCUUCAUGCCCUUGAAGGGCGCAGUGUGUCCCGUGGUGCCCGGUGGGCCCGGACAGAGACCCCAGAGGCUCUGUCUGAAGGAAGCUGCACCCACAGACUCCAUCCAGGCAGCGCGGGCGCGGUCCUGUCGCCUACCUUUCUCGGAAGCCAUCUGCCCAUGUGAAUCUAUGUGAAGGCCCUUCAUGCGCUCCUGGACAUCUGCGUGGGAUUUACUUCAACUGCUAUCGCUGCGAGGAGGACGAGCAUGUUUCACUGUAUUUUUAGCAGAGAGUGCAGAUUUUAGAACCUCGCGAACGGUCCUGUAUCUCCUGCACGAUGACUCUCCAGAACAGGAAUAGUGACCCUUCCUUUGCAUUUAUGGUGCAUAGGUUUUCAAAGGACAGUGUGUAAAUCAGCUUGUGUAAUAAUUGUGGCACCCACGCGCGCAAGCAGACUUACCAUGAGCUGACUUCCACUGAUUAUUUCAGUUUCCAGGGAAACGAGGUUUGCAGCCCCCUCCAGUGAGGGCGGAGCGGCCUCUCCAUUCCCAAUGCAGCAAGGCUGCUGCAGCCACGAUGAUUAGGCUUUGGAGGAGGAAGUGAACGGAUGGGGCCUCAUCCUCCUGCCUCCCUAAAGGAUGCUCGCUUCACCCCACUGAGAUGUAACUCAGUUUUGUGGGAUCCCACUGCCCUCCAGGUGCCGCUCCGAGUGCUCUACACAGAUUUUCAUUCAGUCCUUGCGGCACACGAAGGGAUGGCCUCUGCACUUCAGCUGGUUUCUGACACCUAAAAACAGAAGUGGAAAAGGGAGCAGACGCAGCCACAUUUUGAAAGCUGAUUCGGUUGCUUUCUGGCAGAAUCCCUGCCCCCAAGCACCUGCCAGGCCCACCCAUGAAGCCUCUUCCCACGCCUUAACUCUGCCCCAUGAGGGGACCUCAAGCAGUUGCAGUCUAGUCAGGUGAUUUGCAGAGCUCAGGGCUCAGGGAGGGGCACCCACCUCAGAAAAAAGCGCCGUGCUCAUGAGAAAUGACUUCUACAGGUUGUUGGGGAAAGAGGAGUUAUUUUAAAGAUCACAGAGCCCGUGAUGUGCCAGGCGCACCCACACAGGGCAUAUAGUCCCCGCAGCUGCCUCUGUGCUGGGGCCACGUCACCGUCCUGUCCUAAAGACAAGCAAUGUGAAGCCCAGAGAUGGUAUCUUAAAACAAUCGUGUGGUUUUUUUCUGAUUACAACAGCAAUUGUGUUAAUCCAACAAUAUUUUUCCUAUCAACUGUAAACCUUAUUUUAAUAUUUACAUAUUUAUUAGCAUUUAAAAUUCAAUCUCCUAGAAUAUUGACUUCAAUUAGUUUGGCUGAUUCUAAUUUUUUUUUUCUAAUUUGUUUAUCACUUAACUUUUUAAGUACUUUUUUUUUUUAGACAGAGUCUUGCUCUGUCACCCAGGCUGGAGUGCAGUGGUGCAAUCUCGGCUCACUGCAACCUCUGCCUCCUGGGCUCAAGCGAUUCUCCUGCCUCAACCUCCCGAGUAGCUGGGACUACAGGCUCACACCACCAUGCCCAGCUAAUUUUUAUAUUUUUAGUAGAGAUGGGGUUUCACCAUGUUGUCCAGGCUGGUCUCGAACUCCUGACCUCAAGUGAUCCCCCACCUCAGCCUCCCAAAGUGCUGGGAUUACAGGUGUGAGCCACCGUGCCUGGCCUGUUUUUAGUACUUUUAUCCUUUAUCUUUUUAACUACGUAAGUACUCAACAUUUUAAAUUAUUAAUCUUCACCAUGUUAUUUCCAAGAACAAUCACGAUUGAUCUUUCAGUUACACAGCCACGGUGUGUGCCUCUCUGUGUAACUCUGCACAGCUGGUGAUUUACUGAAAGAACUUACUCUCAUAAAACCACAGCCAGCGAGUUCUCAGAGACACAAUAAUGCACCUUAAUUAUGAGUUUAAAAGCUCUUGUCUUGUGAAAUGUAAUCGAUCCACAGAAAAAUCAUAAAGUAUACAUGUAAUAGCUUAAUGACUUAUAAAUGAAGAUCUGUAUACUUCCCACUCGAAAAACGGAAUAUUGCAGGAUUUGAGUACACAACCCGUACCUUUCCAACGACAGCCUCCCUCCCACCAGAGCUUCUGCUGAGUUCACUUGAAAUCACUUCCUUGCAUUUAUUUAUACUUUUAUUACCUUGAGGUGCAUCCCUAACCAUUCUAGUUCGAUUUUGCCUGGUGUUUGAACUUUAUAUUAAUGGAAUCAUAGGACAUAAUUCUUAUAUCUCUGGUUUCUUUCAUUCAACUUUGUGUCUGCGAAAUGUAUCCAUGUUGCAUGCAACGGGGGCUCAUUCAUCGCUGGUUACUGAUUCACUGCAUGAGUAUGACACAGUUUAUUAACCAUUUCACUGCUGAUGAACAUUUGAUCAUUUCUAGUUUGGGAAUAUUAUUAAUAAUUUUUGAACCUUCUUAUUUGUGUGCCCUGAUGUACAUGGACAUGCAUUUUAGGGGUGUAUACUUAGGGAAAUUGCCGGUUCAUGAGUAACACCUAUCUUCAGGUAUUACUUUUUGUGCCCUUUUAUGCUGAACUACAAUUUACGUGCAAUACCAAUCAUUCAUAUUAAGUGUACAACUCAGUGAGUUUAGACAACUGGACACCUUGUUGUGAGUCACCACCACCGAGAUGAUCCAGCACUGUCCCAACUCCCCCCAAGUUCUCCUUUGCAGGCACCCUCUCCCUCCAUUCUGGGCACAGGCAACCAUGAACCACUAUCUGUCACCGUAGCUUUAGUAUAAAAUUUCACAUACAUGGACUCAGGGAGCAUAGAGUCUUUCCUGUCUGGCUUCUUUCCGCUGGCAAAAUGCUUGGAGACUUUUCCACGUUGCUGCAUGAAUCAAUGGAUCAUUUGUUUUCGUGGCUGAGCAGAAUUCCACCAACAUUUGUUUACUCAUCCAUGAAAUGAUGGACAUUUGGUGUUUUUCCAUUGAGAUUGUUAUGAAUAAUGCUGCUAUUGUCAUUCAAGGACAAGUCUUCUGUGAACAUCUGUUUUCACUUCUCUUGGGUACAUCCUUAGAAGUGGUAUUGCUGGACUGUAUCAAAAGUUAAUAUUUAACUUUCAGGAAACUUACAAACUGUUUUCCAGAGUGGCUGUACCAUUUUGCAUUCCCAGACCGAAGUGUGAAAGCUCCAGAUGCCCCACGCCCUCACCAGCCCACGGUGUUGUCAGCCUUAAUAGUGCUGACCAUUCUGCCUGUUAAUAUGAUGAAUUACACUGAUUCAGUUUCAAAUGUCCAACCAAGCUUGCACUCCAGAGAUGAAGCCCACUUGAUCACAUGGAUUAUUCUUUUAAUAUAUGAUGGAUACGACUUGGCUGUUCUUUUGUUGAGGAUUUUUGUGUUUAUGUUAAUGAGGAUAUUAUUUGUAGUUUUCUUUUCUUGUAAUGUUUUUGUCUUUGUUCAGUGUCAGAGUAAUGCCAACUUCAUAAAGUGAGCUGGGAAGUA